RNAcentral lists this ribosomal RNA (497 nucleotides) under uncultured bacterium. RNAcentral describes it as "partial 16S ribosomal RNA". It matches the Rfam family "Bacterial small subunit ribosomal RNA", at positions 28 to 507 of the family's 1533-position model. The record is from RNAcentral.
GAUGAACGCUGGCGGCGUGCCUAAUACAUGCAAGUCGAGCGAACAGACGAGGAGCUUGCUCCUCUGACGUUAGCGGCGGACGGGUGAGUAACACGUGGAUAACCUACCUCUAAGACUGGGGUAACUUCGGGAAACCGGAGCUAAUACCGGAUAAUUUAUUGAACCGCAUGGGUCUAUGGUGAUAGAGGGGUUUGCUGUCAUUUAUAGAUGGAUCCGCGCCGCAUUAGUUAGUUGGUAUGGUAACGGCUUACCAAGACGACGAUGCGUAGCCGACCUGCGCGGGUGUUCGGCCACCCUGGAGCUGACACGCGGUUCAGACUCCUACGGGAGGGAGCUGUAGGGAAUUUUCCGCACAGGGCGGAAGCCUGAGCGAUCAAGGUCGCGUGAGUGAUGUAGGUCUUCGUAUCGUUAACGUUUGUAAUUGGGGAGGAAUAAAUGUGUAAGUAACGAUGAUCAAAGUGACGGUACCUCAUCAGACAGCCACGGCUAACUACGUG